ACACAAGGGAAAGUGACUUAUCACUGGGCCCAGCACACAGGCCCUGCAUUUAUUGUGUAUUGUGACAUAUGGCUUGGUCCAACACCUAGGUGGUGUGACUCUCUACUUCUUCCUGUGCCAUGCCAAAGAAGAGGAUUGUGACAUAUCACUGGAUCCAGCACCUAGGUGGAUGGUGACUCUAAGACCAGGAUUCAACACAACUAGAAGGCUUUGACUCUAAUACGAGUCACAGAAGGCUCUGCGACUCUUCUAUUUUCUCUAGGUUAUGCAAAUGGAGGUGGAUUGUGACAUAUCAUAGGGCCAACACAACACACAGUCUACAGGUGGAAUUGGGACUCUCAUGCAUGGAUCCAGUUCAUCAUUGAUACUGUGACUCAGGUGGGAUUUUGACAUAUAACUGCACCCAGCACACAGGUGAGAUUGUGACUCUUGUAUGCUCAUCCUGCCAAAAGUUGAGUGUCACCCUCACACAUGGACAGAGACUUCUGGUAAGGUCUUGAAUCUUGUACAUGGACACAGUCCACAGCUGGAAUGUCAUAUGUAGAUCCAGCCACAGGUGUGAUGUUGACCUAUUUAUAAAGUUAGCUCACAGGCACAUUGAUAACUCUCAUACCUGGAUCCAGCCAAUAAAAUAUAUGUUGACUAUUAUAGCUAGGCUUGAGUAAACUGGUAGGGUCCUGGGUCUUCUACCUGUAUGAGAGUCACAGAAGAUUAUGACACUUAUGGAAAUUACAUAAAGCCCUCUGGCAAUGCAAAGUUUUAUCACGGGGCCCCACACGCAGGUGAGAUUGUGACUUCAAUAUGCAGACAAAGCUAACAGUUAGUAUUGUUACCUUCACAUAUAAACAGAGCCCACUGGUGAGGUUCUAAAUCUCACACACCAAAAAAA
This 889-nucleotide long non-coding RNA is filed under the name Homo sapiens (human). RNAcentral describes it as "novel transcript". Lineage: Eukaryota; Metazoa; Chordata; Mammalia; Primates; Hominidae. The record is from RNAcentral.